RNAcentral lists this ribosomal RNA (253 nucleotides) under uncultured bacterium. RNAcentral's name for it is "partial 16S ribosomal RNA". It matches the Rfam family "Bacterial small subunit ribosomal RNA", at positions 524 to 776 of the family's 1533-position model. The record is from RNAcentral.
UACGUAGGGUGCGAGCGUUGUCCGGAAUUACUGGGCGUAAAGAGCUCGUAGGUGGUUUGUCGCGUUGUUCGUGAAAACUCACAGCUUAACUGUGGGCGUGCGGGCGAUACGGGCAGACUGGAGUACUGCAGGGGAGACUGGAAUUCCUGGUGUAGCGGUGGAAUGCGCAGAUAUCAGGAGGAACACCGGUGGCGAAGGCGGCUUUCUGGACGACAACUGACGCUGAGACGCGAAAGCGUGGGGAGCAAACAGG